GGAUGCGAUCAUACCAGCACUAAAGCACCGGAUCCCAUCAGAACUCCGAAGUUAAGCGUGCUUGGGCGAGAGUAGUACUAGGAUGGGUGACCUCUUGGGAAGUCCUUUUGUUGCAUUCC
Molecule: ribosomal RNA, 119 nt
Filed under: Triticum dicoccoides
Lineage: Eukaryota; Viridiplantae; Streptophyta; Magnoliopsida; Poales; Poaceae
Source: RNAcentral